GCUUCUUGUUUGAGGUCGCUUCUUCCUUGUGAAGUGUACUUUCAUUUAAAAUAAAUCUGUGCUUUGGCUUGCCUUGCUUGUGUGCUUUGUUCAGUUCUUUGUUCUAAAGGCCAAGAACCUGGACAACUACCCUCAACCAGUAACAUGUUUUGGCAAGCCAGCCAGGAGACCAUCAAGCUUCAGAUGACCAGGCAACAAAGCUUCCAGCAAGUACCAAAUGAAGAUAAUACCCCUCGCCAUCAAGAAACUAUCCUGUUUCUACUAGACAGAGCAUGGAAAGAGUCCCAUGAUCCCCACUAGCUGCUUGGAAUAUGGACACUUGGCUGCAUCUCCAAGAAUCAUACUAGACCAUGAACUAGUCCUGAAUUUGGGAGAGGCUGUUGUGAUAUCCUGCAUGGACAAGGAAAUGAUGUUCAUCUAAUACACCCACUUGGGAACACUUUGAUGCAUUGGCUAUGAUUGUCUUUCUGUUUUCCCUACCCUCAUCUCUAGCCCUGUCCCAGUAUGAGAACAUGGAAACUCAUUUUGGAAAAUGUGAAAUGAGUGAUCCCCAAAAGUAGCCUUGCUCAUGAUUGGGUGAUUAUAUUAAGGGUGAUUUUUUUUCUUUAUUGUAUUUAGCUGUUUUCCAUUGUGUUUUUUGGCAACAAAUAUAAAAAGUUAUAGUUUUCUUAUUUUUAAAAGACAUGUUGCCUCAUAGAAGUAGAUAAUAUCAGAAAAUGACUUUUUUGUGUCCAAUGGCUCCAUCUGCCCCUAGUUAUUGUCCCUCAAAAGAGGGGCAUGUACGACUUGAAAUAGCCAAAUGAACUUGUCUCAUACAGUUGCAUCCAUUUUGGCUGACAGCAUAGAUAAAAAUUCUUUAUUUAUACGUGACAGUGGGCAGACAGAAAUAACUCCUUACUUUGUUUUCUAUAUUUUAAAGCAUUUUUUCAGAGAACUGUUUUCAGUAGCAAGUUGCCAUCAUGCAUUUAAAACAUUUGAUUCAGGGACAAAUGUUGAGGAGAUCACUUGCACAAAGGGAAUUAAGCUUGCUGGGUGUAGCAUGGGCUAGGGAUAAAAAAAACAGUUUAGAAAAGGAUGUGAUAUCACUCAUCUCUUUAGGAAAGCAUUUCUCUGUCUUAGAGUUAGAGCUCCAGGCAGAGGAAAUGGGAAGGCGGGGAAAACAUGGACAGGUUCCAAAGGAGAUGAUGGGUCAUAGAGAAUGAAUGAGUCAACUAGCAUCAGAGGGUGUGAGCGAGGGUUUGGGGGAGGGGGAAUAAUGGAAUCUAUGGGUUCUUUGAACCCCCUCACUCCCACACCCAUAUACACACACCAAGUUCUUGGGGGACAUGAGCAGUCCUUAAGUGUCCUGAAAGAGUGACUGUGUUCCCUAAGCAACCAAAUCACUCCAGAAACUGAUUUGGCUGGGAGAGUGUGACACAUCAAAGUUAGGGAGGUGACGAAAGUAUAAGAAUCACUCUAAUAGGAGAGCAUCGUCAAUUGUCAGCAUUUAGUUCUAUUUAGAAAGGAUUGGAAGGAAGGGAGAAGUCACUUCUUGAAGAGAAGACGCAAAAAGUUGAUGGCAUUUAGUCGUGCCAAAAGAAGUGCUUUGAAACAGUUCUAAAAUGCAAGCCUAAUUAGUUACUUUAAAGUAUCCCACAGGUCUCUCCAGAUCAUGUGUGUGAGGUAUUUGAAUUUUUCAGUGGUCACAGAUGAGAAGACUGUCACUUCUGCGAACGUCUAUUUCUGCACCCCAGGCAUCUAGCAUACUCACCUAUGUUCGCCCAAGUCUUUUAUCAUAGCUUGUUCAUCAUAUUUAUUAGGUUGGCAAAAAUGUAAUUGCAGUUUUUGCCAUUACUUUCAAUGGCAAAAAAAAAAAGGCAAAAACCACAAUUAUGUUUGCACCAACUUAAUAUAUUCCCAGCAUUAAAAUUUCUUGUAAUGUAUUUCAUGCUUGCUAUUCCAGGAAUCUUAAAAUUCUCUACUAGGAUUUCUUACUUAGUGUUUAAGUCCUUAAAUUAAACAAAUAGAAAUACUAUGUAAGACAUGUGCCAUAUACAGCAAAUAAAUCUCAUGAACCCACAUCAAACAGGUAAAUAAAAAUAUGAACUGAGUUUUGUUCAUAUUAAUAUUCAGUGUCCUUUUGACACUGCUUCUUCUGAAGCAAACCAAAAGUGCUUGGAAAUAAAACUAAAAGGUUGAUUUUACCAUCAUACAUCUAUAGCCUCCAGAGUGACCUAUUAAAUUAUAAAUGGGAUUAUGUUACUCCUACAAUUAGUACCUUCUGUAUGAGGAAACAACAACUUCAUUAUACCCAAAAGCUCCCGCAUGAUUUGGCCUCUGUCUGCUUGUCUAAACUAGGGUGUCAUCACACGCCUUGGUUAUACCAUCAAAAGUAUUGUUUGAAAGUAAAUCAGGUGGUCACUCAACUCCAACCUCACUUCUUUGCUCCUUCUAUUCUUUCACCAUACUUAGGCUACACUUGCCAUCUCUACGUUUCAGGAGGAGGCUAAAUUAUUUUAUAUUUUUGGAUCCCUGCCUAAGACAUCCCAUCUGCCUGAAGCACACUUCUUCCCCUGUUCAUCUGGUUAACAUUUAGGCACCUUUCAAGCCUGCUGAAACUUAACUUCUGCACACCCCAGUAUAGACCUGUGAGCCUCUUUAAUUACACUCUCCAUUGCACAUGUAAGAAUUUGUAGUCCUGUAUUUUCUUAUGUUUUUAUUUCUUUAAUAUUUGUCUUCACAAGUCUCUGAGGCAGAGACAGGACUGACACGCAACUGAUUCUCACUAUUAUGGCCUUUAAAGGUUGUUGUAUAUCUGUUUUGUUGACAACAGACACCUAGUACACAACACAGUACCUAAAACAUAGUAGACACUCAGCACGUUUGUUUAACAAAUGAGAGAAUGACCAUGGAUGCUCUCAUGGAAUCAAUUGUCGUGAAUUCAAUUAAUGCAGCCUUUACCAAACUCUUAUUCUGUGUAGAUCAUGAACACAAUGGCUUAAAAAUCAGCAGCACCAGUAUCUGCUGGAGCAUGACAGAAAGACAGAAUCUUGAGUCCAAACCUAAAUGACAAUCUGCUGUUUAAUGAGACACAUGGGAGGUUUCAAUUACACAUUAAAGUCUAAAUACUCACCUUAGCACACACUUAUCUAGUAAGCCUGGAAAAAUAAGAAGCUGAAUGGCCAUUCACACUCCUCACUUUUAAGAAACCUACAUGGCCUGCCAAAUGGGCCAAUUACUACUUUUAAUGGGAAUGAAAAAUGUUGGGAAUUUGCCAAUUUAUUCUAAACUUUUAAAAUGCUAUCCCUAGUUUUUCUUGAAGAUCAUAGAGCAAAAUAGAUAAGGCUGCUAGUCAUAAAGUUUCUGAUUUCCUGUCUUAGCAUAUUGUCCUAAUCUAAGAAAGAAUAGUCAUAAUUGGGGGUCUAAGCUAAAAUAAAAAUAAAGGUACACAGUAUUAAAAUUCUACAAUGAUUUUAAAAUAAGUACAAUUGUCUAACAAUAAAUUUGCCAUUAAAGUUAAAAUCACAGUAAUAUAUAAUAAACUCAUUCGCAUUGGUGACUCACACAUCAUUUAUGCAUGUUUUUAAAGUCCCAGUGGACUUUCACGCACAAAGAAAUUUUGCCUUUCACUUACUUCAACAGAGUCAAUUGAUUUCCUGUUAAUCAAGAUUUUAAAAUGUCAACUGAGGUUUACUUUGAAAUAAGUGAGGACAAUUUAGGAGGACUCAGGUCAAUAUCCAGAAUGCCAGUGGUGAUCAAAUGAACUUUGAUUCAUAGUGAAUAAUGUUACGAAUUCCAUAGCUGAUCAGGCAUUUUCAUUGACUUGGGAGCCUUAUUUAUCAGCAUGAAUGCCAUAAGGAGGUCAGAGAGAGCAAAUGCAGUGAUACAUGCAGAGACAUGUUUAAGUCUGGCAUUUAGCAUACCUGGUGGCUGCCAAAUAAAAAUCUUACAUAUUAGGCAACCUUUAUAUAUAUAUAUAUAUAUAUAUAUAUAUAGUUAUCACUGUACUCAUUAAAAUGUUUGACAUAGUAUUGAGAAAAUAAGUAAGGCACUAAUUUGUCUUUUAAGGCCCCAAACCCAGAACUUACAAACAAAGUACCAUAUAUGAAUUAAUAAAUUGAAUUUUCUAUUGCAGUAUUUAUUGAUGAAGUAGGCUGAUUUAGCUUACUUCCAUUAAAUUUUGUAAAGAUUCGUGAACAGAGAAGAACUAUUUUUUAAUGAAUAUGAAUUCAGGGCAUCCCCAGGUAUAGAUAAAAGUGUUCAAGGCUUCACAAAGGAAACAGAGACAGAGGCAGUACAGUGUGGAAGUUAAACCAUAAGCUUUAGAGUCAACAGAACUAGACACAAGUCCUGGUUCCCAUCAUUAGCAGUGAGCCUCAUCUAUAGAUUGGCAAUAAAAAUUAUCUCAGAAAGGCUUUAAAGGAUUAAAGCAAAUAACCAGAUAAUGCAUGAGAAUUACUGUUAACAAUAAAAAGAGAAUAAAGAAUGAAUAUUUUAAAAAUCAUUUAGCUUUCUGGAAACUUCAACAGCAUUCACAGUGGAAUAAAAUAGCCAUCGGAACGCUGCUCUUACCAGAGGUUAGUUUUGCAUAGUUCAUUCAUUCGGUUAAUGUGUCUUGAUUAAGAACCCGUACUACAUUGUGCUAAUUACUAGAGAAUAAAAAAACACACAAACAUCCUGUGAAAUGGAACUUAGAACUUAAUAGAGAUAAUACUUUUAAAAUAAUAAUUAUAUCAUCAAAACUAUAUGAUUUUAAUAAGUAUUAUGGAAGAAAAUCAAAAUGCUGUCUAUAAAUAUUUCAAGGAGAACUUCUUCAAAUAUCAAGGUCAAGAAAGGUUUCUGAGAAAAAGUGGUAUUUCAGCUAAGAUAUGAAGAAGGAGUGGGAGUUUGCCAAGGAAAGGGGUAGGGGAGUAGUCCAGGUACAGAUAAUACAGAUGUAGCUUUUAGGAUGGCAAAGGGUUGACAGUAUUGGAGGAGCUGAUCAGGCAAAGAUCAAAGUGAUGGGAGUUCAGGUGAAGCUAGACCAUGCAAACCCGUGGGUGUCUUUUAUCCCAGAUGCAAUGGGCUGCCAUCAAAGGGUUUUAAAAAGAUGAAUGAUGUAAUUGCAUCACCCUGACUUCUGUAUGGAGAAUGAAUUCGAAUGUGACAAUAGUGGAAGCAGAGAGACCAGUUUAUUAGGGAAUGUCUUAAAAUGUUAAAACAUAAAUUUACCUUUAGCACAUUCAUUCUGGAGGCAACAUUGCUGGAGCAUGGGCAAACUGGGGUUCUACAGGUUCACGUUUCAGAUCCUUUUCAUAUGAUUUAAUACAUGUGUUUGCUAAGAGAUUAUGUAAUAAUUGUGUAUGUUGGCUCAUUCACUUUCAACAAAUAUUUAUAAGGCAUUCUCACGUGCCAGUUACUGUACUAGACACUGGGAAUAAGGAAGAGAACAAAACACAUGAAUACAUUAUUCUAAUUGAUCGUACAUUUUAGUGGGGAAAAAUUAAACUAGUAAAUAAAUAUAUAAGAUAAACCUAUGAAGAAAAAUCCAAAUCCAAAUGAGGGCCCUAGUGAGUAAGAGAAGAUGAUACAAUUUGGGAAUGGUUAGGGAAGAUCUCUCAGAUAAGGUGAUUUUUGAGCAGAAAUGAAGAGUAAGCCAUUUAAAAUCUAGGCAGUGGGAACAUAAGUGCAAAGGCUCUGAAAUGAGCCUUGUAUUUAAUUUUUUCAAGAGUCAGCGAGGCCAGGCACAGUGGCCAGUGGCUCAUCCCUGUAGUCCCAGCACUUUGCAAGGCUGAGGCAGGCGGAUCACUUGAGGCCAGGAGUUUGAUACCAGCCCAGCCAACAUGGUGAAACCCCAUCUCUACUUAAAAAAAAAAAAAAAAUUAGCCAUGUGUGGUGGCAGGUACCUGUAAUCCCAGCUACUCGGUAGGCUGAGGCAGGAGAAUCACUUGAACCUGGGAGGCAGAGGUUGCAGUGAGCCAAGAUGGCACCAAGGCAAGGCAAGGCAAGGCAAGGCAAGGCAGGGCAAGGCAGGGCAAGGCAGGGCAAGGCAAGGCAAGGCAAGGCAAGGCAGGGCAAGGCAGGGCAAGGCAAGGCAAGGCAAGGCAGGUCAAGGCAAGGCAAGGCAGGUCAAAGCAAGGCAAGGCAGGUCAAGGCAAGGCAAGGCAAAGGAAAGAAAAGGAGUCAGCCUGGUCAAAAUUAAUGUGAUUCCAUCAUCACCAUCAUCAUCACCAUUCUUAUUCUCAUCAUCAUCACUACCCUCACCACCAUUAUAAUCACCAUUAUCACCAUUGCCACUGUCAUCAUCACCAUAGUCAUCAGUAUCACUACCACCAUCACCAUCAUCAUCACCAUGUAACUUUGGAAAAGUUUCUUAGAGGCUCCAUAAGGCAUAUUAUUGAUACAGCUCCAUCAGAGACAGUCAUGUUAGUCAGAAAGAGUCUAAAUAUUUUAGUAGUUCCAGUUUUUAUAGCACUUUCAUCUUAAAAAUUAUGAAAAAUGUCAUUUAAGGCAAAUAUUUUUAGUCUUUAGCCUGAGUUAAGAAUCAACUGAGACACUUAAUAAAAACAUCCAUUCCUGUGACAAGAUUUUGACUCAUUUGAUCUAGAGUGGAGCCCAGGAAUUCACAUGUGCAAGAAACACCCCAGGUGAUUACUGAUGCAAGUGGCCCAAGGACUAUACUUUGAAAAAAAUGCCAUUUUAAUGCCUUUAGUGAGUGAGGUCUUACAACUCUUAUAGUUUGUAAGCACUUCCCCCAUUGCACAUCUGUGCUUCAAUUCCAUAAUGGUGCUGUAAAAUAUUAUUCUCCAAAUGCAAAAUUCACAGACAAGUCAAAAAGGACCAACCUUAAUGAGAAACUAUCUAUAAUACCUGGAAAUUGAUGGACAAGUGAAACCAAUGAUGUCAAAUUCAUUGCCACUUGAAGUCUGAGACCAAUACUUAAUAAUUUUUCUUCCAUGUAACUUACUUUACUAACUGGCCUCAAUGACAAAAAAUCUUUUUCAACUAAUGUUACUUAAGGGGAAAUUCUUCAAACAGAUAUAUUUUAUAAGAAGCCUUAUAUCUGGAAUUCUUAGGGAAUAGUGUUAUGGUUAAUUAAGAUAUGCUAAACAUGAAUUACAUAAGUAUUGUUUAUUUUCAAGUAGUACUAGAGUAUACAAUAUGCUUAGUUUUAAAAUAAUGUUUUGCAAUGCUUCAGUAUUCCAGGGUUGUAAUAAUGAUUAAUAACUACCCUUGUACUGGAAAUUUUCAGAAGUGCCAAUUAGUAGAGAAUUCUGAAUAAUAAAAUGCUGAGUAAUAUAAAACAAAAUAACUAUUUAUCCCUUCAAAUGUUAAUAUUUGCAAUGCAGAAAUGUGCUUUCAAUAAAACUUAUCUUGCC
This 7337-nucleotide long non-coding RNA is filed under the name Homo sapiens (human). Its description in RNAcentral is "HSALNT0320267". Lineage: Eukaryota; Metazoa; Chordata; Mammalia; Primates; Hominidae. The record is from RNAcentral.